This 504-nucleotide ribosomal RNA is filed under the name uncultured Glomeromycotina. RNAcentral describes it as "partial small subunit ribosomal RNA". It matches the Rfam family "Eukaryotic small subunit ribosomal RNA", at positions 591 to 1092 of the family's 1831-position model. Lineage: Eukaryota; Fungi; Glomeromycota. The record is from RNAcentral.
CCAAUAGCGUAUAUCAAAGUUGUUGCAGUUAAAAAGCUCGUAGUUGAAUUUCGGGAUCAAUAUGUCGGUCGUGCUUUCUGGUACGUAUUGGCGUCAUUGGUUUCUCCUUUCUGACGAGCCAUGAUGUCAUUAAUUUGGUGUUAUGGGGAGUUAGGACUGUUACUUUGAAAAAAUUAGAGUGUUUAAAGCAGGCAUUAGCUUGAAUACACUAGCAUGGAAUAAUCAAAUAGGACGUUCGAUCCUAUUUUGUUGGUUUCUAGGAUCAACGUAAUGAUUAAUAGGGAUAGUUGGGGGCAUUAGUAUUCAAUUGUCAGAGGUGAAAUUCUUGGAUUUAUUGAAGACUAACUACUGCGAAAGCAUUUGCCAAGGAUGUUUUCAUUAAUCAAGAACGAAAGUUAGGGGAUCGAAGACGAUCAGAUACCGUCGUAGUCUUAACCAUAAACUAUGCCAACUAGGGAUCGGAUGAUGUUAAUUUUUUUUUAAUGACUCAUUCGGCGCCUUACG